ACUCAAAGGCAGACUCGGUACAGUUCGAAGGGGUGACAAAAGGGUUUUAUUGAUAGGUCCAACAGGGCAGAAUGGAGAACACGGAGGAGAGGAGUAAGUCCAGGUAAGAUAGGUGCAGAGCAGGGUCUGGCAUUCAGCAGGGUUCCCGGAGGUAGUGUGCUCUACAUGUGGUUAACUGACAAUCUGGCGAAGAAUGUGAGGAGGACUGGGGUUGAAAUACUGCAGGAGCUUGAUUAGUGGAAUGAGAACCAGGUGCGCCGCUGGAGCCAGAGAGUGUAGCCAUGCCCAGACAGACACAGACAGGGAGGACAGACAGAAAACACAGGGAAGGGGGGAACAAAAGAACACAAGGUAGUGGGGAGAUUCUGUAGCACCACAACAUUUCAUUUAAGUUUUCAACAUCUGAACCUUGUUUGAAAGGAUGGAAGACUUUGUGGACAUCUGUUGUUGUUGCUUUAUUCCAUACAGAAGGUUUAAUAUAUUGUGGUUAUAGUGGCUGUUUUUUGCUGUGUAACAAUCAUAUCUAGUGGCUCUCUGACAAUGUUUAGUGGCAACAUGUAUGCUGUGGUUUGUUAAUAACAUGUUUGAUGCUGUACUUCCAAUAUAUGGUGGCUGGAGUGGAUGAUUAUUCUUAUAGUUUCUGUCUAUAAAUAAAGCAAAAUGAAACUCUUCUUGGCAUUUAUUAAAGAUCAGUCAGUCUGAGCAAACACAUGCACAGACCGAAUAUCCCCAACU
Micropterus salmoides (largemouth bass) is the source of this 735-nucleotide long non-coding RNA. RefSeq lists it as uncharacterized. The transcript has 2 exons. The record is from RefSeq and is a predicted model, not a curated record. NCBI's taxonomy places the organism in Eukaryota, Metazoa, Chordata, Actinopteri, Centrarchiformes, Centrarchidae.